GAUGAACGCUGGCGGCGUGCCUAAUACAUGCAAGUCGAGCGAACGGACGAGAAGCUUGCUUCUCUGAUGUUAGCGGCGGACGGGUGAGUAACACGUGGAUAACCCACCUAUAAGACUGGGAUAACUUCGGGAAACCGGAUCUAAUACCGGAUAAUAUUUUGAACCGCAUGGUUCAAUAGUGAAAGACGGUCUUGCUGUCACUUAUAGAUGCAUCCGCGCUGCUUUAGCUAGUUGGUAAGGUAACGGCUUACCAAGGCAACGAUGCAUAGCCGACCUGAGAGGGGGAUCGGCCACACGGGAACUGAGACACGGACAAGAGUCCUACGGGAGGCAGCAGUAGGGAAUCUUCCGCAGUGGGCGAAAGCAUGACGGAGCAACGCAGAGUGAGUGAUGAAGGUCUUCGGAUCGGAAAACCCUGUUAUUAGGGAAAAACAUCUGUGUAAGUAAAUGAGCAGAUAGUGACGGUACCUAAUCAGAAAGCCACGGCUAACUACGUG
RNAcentral lists this ribosomal RNA (497 nucleotides) under uncultured bacterium. Its description in RNAcentral is "partial 16S ribosomal RNA". It matches the Rfam family "Bacterial small subunit ribosomal RNA", at positions 28 to 507 of the family's 1533-position model. The record is from RNAcentral.